GGCCCGAUGGUCUAGUGGUAUGAUUUUCCCUUAGGGUUGAUUCUCCUCUGAAUCAUGAUUUGGGAGAGGUCCCGGGUUCAAUCCCCGGUCGGGCCC
Molecule: non-coding RNA, 96 nt
Organism: Paraphysoderma sedebokerense
Lineage: Eukaryota; Fungi; Blastocladiomycota; Physodermatomycetes; Physodermatales; Physodermataceae
Source: the annotation of a GenBank genome assembly